UAGUUGGUGAAAGUCCAAUCCGAGUAAGUACCAAGACGCUCGGUAGCUGACAGGCAACUGGUGAAGAAAUUCUAAGGUUGAAGCCCUGUGACAAAGUAACUCUCUUGAAGAGUGCGAGCAAACUAACAGGUUGUAACAUGA
This 141-nucleotide non-coding RNA is filed under the name Pseudogracilibacillus auburnensis. The record is from RNAcentral. Lineage: Bacteria; Bacillati; Bacillota; Bacilli; Caryophanales; Bacillaceae.